RNAcentral lists this ribosomal RNA (830 nucleotides) under uncultured bacterium. Its description in RNAcentral is "bacterial SSU rRNA". It matches the Rfam family "Bacterial small subunit ribosomal RNA", at positions 32 to 903 of the family's 1533-position model. The record is from RNAcentral.
AACGCGGGCGGUAUGCUUAACACAUGCAAGUCGAACGGAAUGCUUAGGCAUUUACUGGCGGACGGGUGAGUAACGCGUGAGAAUUUGGCUUCAGGUCGGGGACAACAGUUGGAAACGACUGCUAAUACCGGAUAUGCCGGAAGGUGAAAGGCUUGCUGCCUGAAGAUAAGCUCGCGUCUGAUUAGCUAGUUGGUAGUGUAAGGGACUACCAAGGCGACGAUCUGUAGCUGGUCUGAGAGGAUGAUCAGCCACACUGGGACUGAGACACGGCCCAGACUCCUACGGGAGGCAGCAGUGGGGAAUUUUCCGCAAUGGGCGAAAGCCUGACGGAGCAAUACCGCGUGAGGGAGGAAGGCUCUUGGGUCGUAAACCUCUUUUCUCAAGGAAGAAAAAAAUGACGGUACUUGAGGAAUAAGCAUCGGCUAACUCCGUGCCAGCAGCCGCGGUAAUACGGAGGAUGCAAGCGUUAUCCGGAAUGAUUGGGCGUAAAGGGUCCGCAGGUGGUACUGUAAGUCUGCUGUUAAAGAGUCUGGCUCAACCAGAUAAAAGCAGUGGAAGCUACAGAACUAGAGUGCGUUCGGGGCAGAAGGAAUUCCUGGUGUAGCGGUGAAAUGCGUAGAUAUCAGGAAGAACACCGGUGGCGAAAGCGUUCUGCUAGGCCGCAACUGACACUGAGGGACGAAAGCUAGGGGAGCGAAUGGGAUUAGAUACCCCAGUAGUCCUAGCCGUAAACGAUGGAUACUAGGCGUGGCUUGUAUCGACCCGAGCCGUGCCGGAGCUAACGCGUUAAGUAUCCCGCCUGGGGAGUACGCACGCAGGUGUGAAACUCA